Molecule: RNA transcript, 974 nt
Organism: Planococcus citri (citrus mealybug)
Lineage: Eukaryota; Metazoa; Arthropoda; Insecta; Hemiptera; Pseudococcidae
Exons: 5
Source: RefSeq, a predicted model, not a curated record
AUAACAAUAAGCAAAAAUGUUGGUUAAAAUAACGCCUUUGAAGUGUCCGCCUAGAAAGCGGCCUAAAUGUGGAUGAAAUCGUUGAACAGCUGAUCGAAUAUACAUUAUAGGUCAAGGUCACAACUCGAUCUUUAAUCUCCAAUCCUUCUGGAGAAAUCUGAAAUGCGCAGGAGGCUCCAGAAUGGCUCCUAAUUGUGAAAUCUUGAUUCGAAGGAAUCGAAAAAUCAACUUGGGCAGCUAAAAUUUUGGUUAUGAUGGUUUCAGACCCAGUUCUUUCAAAAAAUUGUGGUCCUGUUCGAAUUGUAGGGGGACAAACCGGACAUCUCGAGGUUUCCCUUCUUAGUAGAUUAGAUAGCGUAUAAGGUUUGAUGCUUGGAAUAAAAUAACAAACAUAAGUGCUGGAAUCAUCAGAGUGGCCAUUAGUUGGUAUUCUCUAUGGUUUAGUCAAUCAUAUGGGAAAUUACGACGAAUGUUUGUCUAUUUCAUCUUAUGGUAUUGAUGGACAGUACUGUUUAGUUGAAGCCAUGUAUAACUAUCCAGAUGCAUUACAUAGUGAAGUCGUCGAGAAUCCUGACGAGAAAAUUUCGUCGUGGGAAGUUGUAAGCAUGUACGGAAAAAAUCCAGUCAGAAUAAACAGAAAAAAGUUGAGGUUCGCCGUCUGCAUACCAUCAUCUUGUACUCCAACUGACUUGAAAAUUUCUCUCAAUCACACAUUGCAUCCAAUAUUCAACGCUCACGAGCUCAAUAUAACAAUUGACGUGGACCCUGUGCUUUGUAAAAUACGCGACAAACCUGCUCGCCCCUUGGGAUACUACAUCGUUCGGAAUUUGUUUGGUGCGAUUUUCUUCCUUGUAAUUUGCGGUACUUUGUAUGAUGUUGCAACUUUCACUGGAGUUGAAAUGAAAACAGAAGGUGGUAUCUAUAGGUAUUUCAUACAUGCGCGAUUUUAAGUAUAAUUUUUUUUGUUACCUAUG